GUGGGGAAUCUUGCGCAAUGGGCGAAAGCCUGACGCAGCCAUGCCGCGUGAAUGAUGAAGGUCUUAGGAUUGUAAAAUUCUUUCACCGGGGACGAUAAUGACGGUACCCGGAGAAGAAGCUCCGGCUAACUUCGUGCCAGCAGCCGCGGUAAUACGAAGGGGGCUAGCGUUGCUCGGAAUUACUGGGCGUAAAGGGCGCGUAGGCGGACAGCUUAGUCAGAGGUGAAAGCCCAGGGCUCAACCUUGGAAUUGCCUUUGAUACUGGCUGUCUUGAGUUUGGGAGAGGUGAGUGGAACUCCGAGUGUAGAGGUGAAAUUCGUAGAUAUUCGGAAGAACACCAGUGGCGAAGGCGACUCACUGGCCCAAUACUGACGCUGAGGCGCGAAAGCGUGGGGAGCAACAGGAUUAGAAACCCUUGUAGUCC
This 424-nucleotide ribosomal RNA is filed under the name uncultured bacterium. RNAcentral's name for it is "partial 16S ribosomal RNA". It matches the Rfam family "Bacterial small subunit ribosomal RNA", at positions 354 to 796 of the family's 1533-position model. The record is from RNAcentral.